UUCUUUAAACCUAGCCCUAGAAAGACUUUCUUCUUCUUCCUUAGAAAAAAAAAUCCUAGGACACAAGACUAAAAACCCAUGGCUGCCAUCUUCAACAGAUAUACAACACAAAAACCCUAGAACCCAUCUUCUUCCUCAUAAGAUAACUAAGACAACAAAGAGACAAAAAACCCUAGCUGAACCCUAACCUACUGCCGCCGCCGCCCCUCGCUGGCAACCACCACAACCACCUAUACCCGCCCCCAUCCGUGACCAGCAGCCCAGCAACCGAACGACCCCUGCUCUUCUCCAACCAAACCAGACAUCUAAAACACCAUAGCCGUCCACCCUCUUCCAAGGCACAGCAAACAGCCGCGGUGCACAAACAAAGAAAAAAACGACUUCAGCUGCAUUACCUCCCUCCUCGCCCUGGCUGUUGUUCCUCCGUCUUCGCCGCCGAUCGAAGUUACUCACCGGCGAUGGCAAGCGACAAUGAAGACCAUCGUUUAAUCAUUUUCCUUCCACAUUUCUCGCUUUGUUCUUUCUUUUACGGGUAAACAGAUCUGAAAAUCGAGAAAGGAAAGCUUCUAAAAUCUGGAUUUCUAAGAGGUUUUGUUUUAGGUCGAAUUUGCCAUUUGUUGCUAAAGUUGUUUCUGCCCAGUCGAGUUUCAUAUCACUUGUCACCCGCUACAUCCUGCUUUUUUCUCGUUUUUAAAGUUUGAGUUCUUGUUGCCGAUGGAGGUCGCCAAUCGAUUUUCCGGUCCAGGUCUUGUUCCAAAGUUUCUGUCAAGUACUUGUAUGCCAUCUCGAGUAUUCAUGCUUCCAAUCUUUCGAACGGUUGCAAUCAGAUUCUGUUUUUGAGGAAGGAGGAGGAGGACGAAGAAGAAGUGGUGAUGGUUGAAGGAGAAUUUAAGCUAUUAGAGGAUGAAAAUGAAGUAGAGAAGUCAUGAUAAUGGGCUGGAGUUUCAAGGUUGAUUUGUUCUUCAAGAUCUUUCAUUAUAGUAACUAGAGAUAGUGAUUGUAGUAGUAGUAAGAAAAAGAUUGUAGGAAGGACAGUACAUUAAAAUAGAAAUGCUAGGUUUUUUUGCUU
This is a non-coding RNA of Nicotiana tabacum (common tobacco), 1069 nucleotides long. NCBI's taxonomy places the organism in Eukaryota, Viridiplantae, Streptophyta, Magnoliopsida, Solanales, Solanaceae. The record is from RefSeq and is a predicted model, not a curated record.